Molecule: long non-coding RNA, 5096 nt
Organism: Equus caballus (horse)
Lineage: Eukaryota; Metazoa; Chordata; Mammalia; Perissodactyla; Equidae
Source: Ensembl
GCUAAAUACAGCCAUGAAGAAGGACUUCAAAUUAGAGGUUUCCAAACUGAAGCCAUCCUUUUUGCUAAAAACUUCUCAGAAUUAUAGGUAACAACCUCUAUUAGUCCCUGUGACUGCUAUAACAAAUUAUCACAAACUUGGUGGCAUAAAACAACAGAAAUGUAUUCCCUCACGGUUCUGGAGUCUGAAAUCAGGGUAUCUGAAAUCAGGCUGUCAGCAGAGUUGCAUUCCCUCUGGAGACUCUAGAAGAGAGUCUUCCCUUGCCUGUUCCAGCUUCUGGUGGCUGUUGGCAUUCCUUGACCACCUUGGCUUGUGGUCACAUCACUCCAACUUCUGCCUGUAUCAUCACAUUGCCUUCUCCUCUCCUGGAUGUGUCUCUUCUAAGGACACUUGUUAUUGGAUUUAGGGCCCGCCUGGAUAAUCCAACAUGAUCUCCUCAUCUCAAGAUCCUUUCUGAAUUACAUCUACAAAGACCCUUUUUCCAACUAUGGUAACAUUCACAGGCUCUGGGGAUUAGGAUGUGGACAUGUCUUUGGGGAGUCGCUAUUCAGCCCACUACACAACCUACACAGGAAUCCAGACAAAGACAAUUUCCCAGAAUCUUCUACUUCAGAAGGGUAAAGAGCAGUGCUGGGGAUUUAUGUAUUUAAUAAGCACGCCAAGUGAGUCUAUGAUCAGGAAACUAUGGCUGGCACUACCUUAAAGUAUCCUCAGGCCUCAGAUCUCGCAUCAACAGAAAAUGAGAUGCCGAAACUGUGCAGAAUUCAGAAGGGAAUCCAUCCCACAAACCCUUAAGAUGUGGCCAUGGAAGACAACAGACAAGGACGAUUAGCACAGAGAACAGCCCAGAGGCAGCGAGAAGCACUGACCAAAGGACACUGUCUGCUGCUGAAGCAAAGAGCACUUGCUGCUCUUGUCUCACAGAGAGAUGCUGAGAUGGAGUUUGGGGUGCAAGGCACUUAUUACGGAUAAGAGGAGACAGAAGCCAGACUGGGCUGAGGAAGAAGUCGAACUGUGAUGCAGGCCCAGUGAAGCUUCAACCAGCCUGCCAGGGAGUUUUUGAGUUUGAAGUUCAGUUGCAGCUCUGCUGGCUUCAACUGGGAUCAACUGGACUGGGAUCCAGGCCAUGAGUAGGAUUCAAGUCUGUUCCACAGUUCUCCUCAUUCUGGGACCAGUGGCUACUGUGACAUGCUCUUCUCAUGACAGAGGACAGGAUUACAAAAGACCAAUCCAAACCACACCCACAUUUAAAACCUCUGCUCAUGUCACAUCCACUAACAUUCCAUUGGCCAAUAUAAGUCUCACAGCCGAGUCCAAAGUCAAUGAGGCAGGAAUGAAUAAUGAAUAUCAGGGAGGGAGUGAAGAAUUGGGAACAAUAAUCACAUCUACUGCAGGGACUAGGCAUUACCUAAAAAGACCAUCCAGAUUGUUAUAUUAGACUGAGGUUGCUGGACAGGACAGAAACUUCACUUUUUCCUGCUACCCAAUAGAUAGGGAUUUGUCUUGGGUCAAGUUCCCUAGAGGCAGAGUAUGAGAUGGGGAUGAUUGUGUACAUAGUUUACGGAGAAAGUGCUUUCAGGGGAAACAUGUCAGGAGGUGAGACAAGGAUAGGAAAGAGGAGGGAAGAAAUCAGGAACGAAAAAUGUUUAUCAGAGAGGGAGUGAAGAAUGUGGUCUCAGCUGGAGUCUAGUCUCAGUCUGAUCCCGCAGGGGAGCUGUGGAGUGGGGAUUGUAUCACAGAGAUAUUCCUCUUGAGGCAAGAGCUAGGCUUUUUUACCCCUAUGUCAGUAAAUCAUUGGUUGUCUCUCUCUCUCCUUAGGAGGGGUAUAACUUCCCAGGCAUUUCUUCGUGAGGUGGAGUGGUAGGCCCGAGGCAAUCCUCUGAAGAAGGGAGCAGCUGUAAUCUGAGAUCAACAAAAUCUCACAGCAGCUGGGGGUCAGGUGCAAGGACGAGGUUAAGGGAAUCUGGGAGGGGCACCAACAGCAUCUAAUAAAUGGUUCAUGAAAGAUCAUCACAAAAUAAAAUAACCGUAUUUUCUUUACAUACCCAUAGCAAAUACUGCUGUUUCUUUCCUAAUAUCCAUUCUCCCCUGCUUCCUUUACAAAAAUGCAAAACCGAGAUAAUUUAGCUCAUCUAGAAUAAAAAUUACAUUUCUCAGACUCCCUUCUAACUAGGCAUGCCCAUAUAACUACGUUCUGGACACCAGAUGAAGGGAGACGGUUAUGUGGAAGCUUACAGGAAGCUGCCUUAAGAGACAGCUGGUGUCACCCUCUGCUCCUUCUUCUUUGUCCUUUUCUCCAUUCUGCCAGCUUGAAUACAUCUGUGAUGAAUGGAUCAGGAACAGAAAUCUAGCACUGUGAGGUGGCCUAGGGAAUGAAGGCCAGCAGAACCCCAAGUUAGAAAGGACCCUGGUUUGUGAGAUCACUGUGACCCACAGCCACCACACUUUCAACAUAGGGAGGUAUAAUCUUCUACCCAGGUCAAACUACUGUUAAUUAACUUUCACAGGGUGAAACUUAUUCACAGGUUAGUGUAAUCCUAAUCAAUCCAACAUCCAAGCCAGAUUGAAAAUGAAUUUGAGAACCUGCUGCCUACAUUCCACCAAAGCACCCUCCAGCAAGAUGGUGCCCAUUUAUACUCCAUUCAGCAGACAUUGGAGUGUUCAUUUCUCCAAACUGGUUAUUAUUGUUUUUGUGAUGGGUUAAUCUAAAAAGCAAAAAGCAAUCUUGUUGUUUCAAUUUUCCUUUUCCACAUUUCUGACCAGGUUGAACACAUUUUCAUCUUUUUUGGGGGCCAUUUGUAUUUCUUUCUUUGUGAAUUGCCUGUUUGUAUCAUUUGUCCAUUUUCUGUGGGGAUGUUUAUAUUUUUAUAGUGACUUAGAGGUGCUUAUUUAUUUGAAAUAUAUAUAUACACUGAUAAAAAUAAAGGCUAAUGUAAUAAAUACCUGGUACCAAUCACCCAAAUGAACAAAUGUUGAUAUUUUGUCAUAUUUGAAUCAAACCUUCUUUUAAAGAAAUAAAACAUUGUAGAUGAAAAUGUAUUCAUCAAGUUCACCAUCCCCGGUCUCAGAAACAACUAUCAUGUUUUUAAGCUUUUGCUGCAAUGUCCAUAGUACCAUUUCAGAUGUGUUUAUUUUAAUUUACAUUAAUGGUGUUGUGAUGGUUAAUUUGAUGUGUCAACUUCACUGGGUCACAGGGUGCCCAGAUAUUUGGUUAAAUAUUUCUAGGUGUGUCUAAAUAUUUCUAGGUGGAUGAGAUCAGCAUUCGAAUCGGUAGACUAAGUAAAGCAAAUUUCCCCCCCAAAUGUGGUUGGGCAUCAUCUAAUCUGUGGGCCUGAAUAGAACAAAAAGGUGGAGGAAGAGAGAAUUCACUCUCUGCCUGACUGCCAUGAGCUAGGACAUAAGUCUUCUCCUGCUCUUGAACUGGAAUUUUUAUACCAUCAGCACUCCUGGUUCUCAGGCCUUCUGACUCAGCCUGGAACUAUACAACUCUCUUUCCUGGUCUCCAGUUUGCAGAUAGCAAAUUGUUGGACCUCUCUGCCUACAUAAUUGUGUGAGCAACUUAAUUCCUUAUAAUUCAUAUAUUUAUAUAACUGGUAUGGUUUCUCUGGAGAAGCCUGAUUAAUACAGGUGUCAUACUGCAAAUUUUUUUUUAGCUCCUUGAACUCUGUGUUUAUGAGAUUUAUCCAUAUUCAUUUAAUUGUUGUAUAAUAUAAUAUUGAAUGAAUAUUUCAAAUUUGAUUCAUAUUUCACAUUUGAUCCCCUAUUGAUAGAUGUUAAAUCCCUUCUCCCAAAUUUUACUAUUACAAACAAUGUGACAUAAAUAUCUUUGGACUUACUUCACGUGUUCCCAUACGAAAGAAUUUCUUUAGAAGUGACAUUGCUGGAUUAUAGGGACAUAGAAGCAUCUUCUACUUUGCUAGAUUUUACUAAAUUGCUGUCCAAAGUGGUUACAUCAAUUUCUAUUCCCAUCAGAAGUGUGUGAGAAUUCCCGUUUUUCCAUAUUCUGGCAACCCUAAAUAAUGUCAAGCUUUUAAAGAUUUGUUUCCAAAUUAAUAGGUAUGAUGGUAUCUCAUUAUUUUAAUUUUAUUUUCUCUAAUAAUGAUGUCAAGCAUAUUUACGUAUGUUUAUUGAGUUUAUUCAUCUUUGAGUUGCCAAUUCUAAUUCUUUGUGCGUUUUUAUAUUGGGUCAUUUGUCAUUUUUAUUGCUUUUUAGGAUUCUUUGAUACAUUCUAGCAGUAAUAGUCAUUGCAAAUAUCUUCUCCCAGUGUGUGGCUUGCCUUUGUAAAAAACAGUUUUAUUGAGAAAUAAUUUACAUACCAUAAAAUUCACCCACUUAAAGCGUACAACUCUUUGGGUUUUAGUUCCAAUCAGAGUUGUGAAACCAUCACGACAAUCUAAUUAUAGAGCACGUUCAUCAUCCACAGAAGAAAUCCUCAGCUUAUUAGCAGUCACUCUGGAUCCCCGUCUCCUCCAAGGCCCUGGCAACUACUAUCUACUUUCUGUCCAUAUAGAGUUGCUUAUUUUGAACUUUUCAUAAAAAUGGAAUCACACAAUAUGUAGUCUUCUGCCACUGGCUCCUUUCACUUGGCACAAUGCUUUCAAGUUCCAUCCAGGUUACUGCAGGGAUGGUUAACUUGGUUAUACUAUGUGUUGCUGUACGUAUGUUUUGAAUUUUCAUUUAGUCAAAUAGGUCAAUCUUUUUUUUUUAGGUUUCUGAUUUUUCUGUCUUAUUUAAAAAAUCUUUCCCUGAGUUAUAUAUUUUCUAAUAAUUUCAAGUUUUUGUUUUUCAUAUUUAAAUUCUCUGCAGCUUAUUUUGUAUAUCACAUCACAUAGAGAUUUAAUUCUUUUCCAUGUGGGUAGUCAAUCAUUCAGCACUACUUAUUGAAUAGUGCCCCAAUUCCCCCACUGUUUUGUAAUGGCUUGUUUAUUAUACAACAAAGUCUCAUAUAUGUUUAGAUCUGUUUACCUCUCCCUGUGCCAUUAUGAUAGCUUUACAGUAAAUCUUAAUGACUAAUACCUUUAUAAUAAAUCCUGCUAUUUGGUAGGGUGAGUUCCCUCUCUUUCUUUUCUACAGACAACUUUGCUGUUAAUGACCCU